UCACUUCCUCUCUUUGUGUUCUUUCCCUGGAGAGGUGGAUCUAGCUGAUGACUUCCUGUGAGCUGCCUGGGCACCAGUUCAAUCCUGGAACUCAGCCUUGAGGAGCUCCCUCAGACAGCUUCUUUGAGACGGUCAUGUGAAACCAAGUAGGAAAAAAUUCUC
This 162-nucleotide long non-coding RNA is filed under the name Monodelphis domestica (gray short-tailed opossum). RNAcentral describes it as "lncRNA (ENSMODG00000046820.1)". Lineage: Eukaryota; Metazoa; Chordata; Mammalia; Didelphimorphia; Didelphidae. The record is from RNAcentral.